AAACCGCAAGUGUGCAGUCGCUGUAUGGCUUGACGCCGUGCAGAGGAAAGUCCGAACUUCACAGGGCAGGGUGCCGGUCGAGAACCUGGGAACCUGGUUCAAGGCCGGGGGCAGCGGUGCAAACCGUCUGUCACAGAGAGUGCAACAGAAAGCAAACCGCCCCGGCUCCGGCCGGAGUAAGGGUGAAAAGGGGGUUUAAGAGACCACCAGGCAGGUCAGUAAUGCCCUGCGCUAUGAAAACCUCCCCGAAGCAAGGCCGAAUAAGGAAGCUUUUUUCGCAAGAAAAGAAGGGUUGCCCGCCCAACUUUUCAAGGCACUGCCUUGAAAGCAGCUUUCGGGUAGGCCGCAUCAGAUAAAUGACUGCAGCUUCAUCACUUGAUGAUGAUUUACAGAAUUCGGCUUACAGCUUCGGUUUCAGC
Molecule: RNase P RNA, 419 nt
Filed under: Chlorobaculum parvum
Lineage: Bacteria; Pseudomonadati; Chlorobiota; Chlorobiia; Chlorobiales; Chlorobiaceae
Description: RNase P RNA component class A
Rfam family: Bacterial RNase P class A
About the family: Ribonuclease P (RNase P) is a ubiquitous endoribonuclease, found in archaea, bacteria and eukarya as well as chloroplasts and mitochondria. Its best characterised activity is the generation of mature 5'-ends of tRNAs by cleaving the 5'-leader elements of precursor-tRNAs.
Source: RNAcentral